Molecule: ribosomal RNA, 446 nt
Filed under: uncultured bacterium
Lineage: Bacteria
Description: bacterial SSU rRNA
Rfam family: Bacterial small subunit ribosomal RNA
Source: RNAcentral
AACGAACGCUGGCGGCAGGCCUAACACAUGCAAGUCGAACGCCGUAGCAAUACGGAGUGGCAGACGGGUGAGUAACACGUGGGAACGUACCCUUCGGUUCGGAAUAACUCAGGGAAACUUGAGCCAAUACCGGAUACGUCCGAGAGGAGAAAGAUUUAUCGCCGAGGGAUCGGCCCGCGUCUGAUUAGCUUGUUGGUGAGGUAACGGCUCACCAAGGCGACGAUCAGUAGCUGGUCGAGAGGAUGAUCAGCCACAUUGGGACUGAGACACGGCCCAAACUCCUACGGGAGGCAGCAGUGGGGAAUAUUGGACAAUGGGCGCAAGCCUGAUCCAGCCAUGCCGCGUGAGUGAUGAAGGCCCUAGGGUUGUAAAGCUCUUUUACCCGGGAAGAUAAUGACUGUACCGGGAGAAUAAGCCCCGGCUAACUUCGUGCCAGCCGCCGCAGU